GUCAUUCCUACAAGUUGACUUAGAGCUCAGUCACUUUCCAUCUAUUAGAUCCUCUUACUGUCAAAAGCCUAAAACUCCUGUUUGAAGCCCACAUAGAGUGGAAUACAAAUGUGAGGAGAUAAGGUAUUUAACCACUACAGCUACCACACCAACCACACUAUGUCAAAUGCCUUACUAAAUCAUCACCCAAAUGAUAAAGAAAAUUUAUCCCACCUGAGGAGUAAUGCUGUUGGCUGCUGUAAUUCCAUUAUUACGGUUUUUCAUCAUGAACAUUUCAGUGUACUUCUUAGAAAAGAGCAUGCAAGAUCCCCACGAACAUCCUUGAGCAAUU
Long non-coding RNA from Daphnia pulicaria, 331 nucleotides. RefSeq lists it as uncharacterized. The transcript is spliced from 3 exons. The record is from RefSeq and is a predicted model, not a curated record. Lineage: Eukaryota; Metazoa; Arthropoda; Branchiopoda; Diplostraca; Daphniidae.